RNAcentral lists this ribosomal RNA (1444 nucleotides) under metagenome. RNAcentral describes it as "bacterial LSU rRNA". It matches the Rfam family "Bacterial large subunit ribosomal RNA", at positions 1465 to 2925 of the family's 2925-position model. The record is from RNAcentral.
UGGAGUGACACAGUAGGAUAAGCUAACCGUACUGUUGGUUAUGUACGGCUAAGCAUUGAGGCAGUCUAAAUAGGCAAAUCCGUUUAGACAAUGCUAGGAUGUGAUGGGGAAGCCCUUCGGGGCGAAGUAGCUGAUUUCACACUGUCAAGAAAAGCUUCUAUCGAGUUUAAAGGCGCCCGUACCGUAAACCGACACAGGUGGGUGAGGAGAGUAUCCUAAGGCCAGCGAGAGAACUAUUGUUAAGGAACUCGGCAAAAUGACCCCGUAACUUAGGGAGAAGGGGUGCCUGUCUAUGACAGGCCGCAGAGAAUAGGCCCAAGCGACUGUUUACCAAAAACACAGGUCUCUGCUAAGUCGCAAGACGAUGUAUAGGAGCUGACGCCUGCCCGGUGCUGGAAGGUUAAGGGGAUCUGUUAGAGCAAUCGAAGCAGUGAACUUAAGCCCCAGUAAACGGCGGCCGUAACGAUAACGGUCCUAAGGUAGCGAAAUUCCUUGUCGGGUAAGUUCCGACCCGCACGAAAGGCGUAACGAUUUGGGCACUGUCUCAACAAUAGACUCGGUGAAAUUGUAAUCCCGGUGAAGAUGCCGGGUACCUGCGACAGGACGGAAAGACCCCAUGGAGCUUUACUGUAGCUUGACGUUGGGUCUUGGUACUACAUGUACAGGAUAGGUGGGAGACUAUGAAGCAUGGACGCCAGUCUGUGUGGAGUCAUCCUUGGGAUACCACCCUUGUAGUACUGGGAUCCUAACCAUAGGCCUUGAAUCAGGUCUUGGAACACCGUCAGGUGGGCAGUUUGACUGGGGCGGUCGCCUCCUAAAAAGUAACGGAGGCGCUCAAAGGUUUCCUCAGCACGGUCGGAAAUCGUGCGAAGAGUGUAAAGGUAAAAGGAAGCUUGAUUGCAAGACAUACAGGUCGAGCAAGGACGAAAGUCGGACUUAGUGAUCCGGUGGUACCGCAUGGAAGGGCCAUCGCUCAACGGAUAAAAGCUACCCUGGGGAUAACAGGCUUAUCUCCCCCAAGAGUCCACAUCGACGGGGAGGUUUGGCACCUCGAUGUCGGCUCAUCACAUCCUGGGGCUGUAGUAGGUCCCAAGGGUUGGGCUGUUCGCCCAUUAAAGUGGUACGCGAGCUGGGUUCAGAACGUCGUGAGACAGUUCGGUCCCUAUCCGUCGCAGGCGUAGGAAAUUUGAGAAGACCUGUCCUUAGUACGAGAGGACCGGGAUGGACGUACCUCUGGUGUACCAGUUGUUCUGCCAAGGGCAUGGCUGGGUAGCUAUGUACGGAAUGGAUAAGCGCUGAAAGCAUCUAAGCGCGAAGCCAACUUCAAGAUAAGAUUUCCCACCGUAAGGGUAAGACCCCAGGAAGACUACCUGGUUGAUAGGUCGAAGGUGUAAGUGCAGUAAUGUAUUUAGCUUAUCGAUACUAAUAGGUCGAGGACUUGACC